CUGAGUUUGAUCCUGGCUCAGGACGAACGCUGGCGGCGUGCCUAAUACAUGCAAGUCGAGCGGACCGACGGGAGCUUGCUCCCUUAGGUCAGCGGCGGACGGGUGAGUAACACGUGGGUAACCUGCCUGUAAGACUGGGAUAACUCCGGGAAACCGGGGCUAAUACCGGAUGCUUGAUUGAACCGCAUGGUUCAAUCAUAAAAGGUGGCUUUUAGCUACCACUUNCAGAUGGACCCGCGGCGCAUUAGCUAGUUGGUGAGGUAACGGCUCACCAAGGCGACGAUGCGUAGCCGACCUGAGAGGGUGAUCGGCCACACUGGGACUGAGACACGGCCCAGACUCCUACGGGAGGCAGGCAGUAGGGAAUCUUCCGCAAUGGACGAAAGUCUGACGGAGCAACGCCGCGUGACGUGAUGAAGGUUUUCGGAUCGUAAAACUCUGUUGUUAGGGAAGAACAAGUACCGUUCGAAUAGGGCGGCACCUUGACGGUACCU
Molecule: ribosomal RNA, 494 nt
Filed under: Bacillus licheniformis
Lineage: Bacteria; Bacillati; Bacillota; Bacilli; Caryophanales; Bacillaceae
Description: bacterial SSU rRNA
Rfam family: Bacterial small subunit ribosomal RNA
Source: RNAcentral